CCUACGGGAGGCAGCAGUGGGGAAUAUUGGACAAUGGGGGGAACCCUGAUCCAGCGACGCCGCGUGAGUGAAGAAGUAUUUCGGUAUGUAAAGCUCUAUCAGCAGGGAAGAAAGAAAUGACGGUACCUGACUAAGAAGCCCCGGCUAACUACGUGCCAGCAGCCGCGGUAAUACGUAGGGGGCAAGCGUUGUCCGGAUUUACUGGGUGUAAAGGGAGCGUAGACGGCGAUGCAAGUCUGAAGUGAAAGGCGGGGGCCCAACCCCCGGACUGCUUUGGAAACUGUAUGGCUGGAGUGCAGGCGAGGUAAGUGGAAUUCCUAGUGUAGCGGUGAAAUGCGUAGAUAUUAGGAGGAACACCAGUGGCAAAGGCGGCUUACUGGACUGCAACUGACGUUGAGGCCCGAAAGCGUGGGGAGCAAACAGGAUUAGAUACCCGUGUAGUC
This 443-nucleotide ribosomal RNA is filed under the name uncultured bacterium. RNAcentral's name for it is "partial 16S ribosomal RNA". It matches the Rfam family "Bacterial small subunit ribosomal RNA", at positions 338 to 795 of the family's 1533-position model. The record is from RNAcentral.